UGGUGGCGAGUGGCGAACGGGUGAGUAACAUAUCGGAACGUAUCCAAUAAUGGGGGAUAACUAAUCGAAAGGUUGGCUAAUACCGCAUACGCCCUACGGGGGAAAGCAGGGGAUCUUCGGACCUUGCGUUAAUGGAGCGGCCGAUAUCUGAUUAGCUAGUUGGUGGGGUAAAGGCCCACCAAGGCGACGAUCAGUAGCUGGUCUGAGAGGACGACCAGCCACACUGGAACUGAGACACGGUCCAGACUCCUACGGGAGGCAGCAGUGGGGAAUUUUGGACAAUGGGCGCAAGCCUGAUCCAGCCAUUCCGCGUGAGUGAAGAAGGCCUUCGGGUUGUAAAGCUCUUUCGCAAGGGAAGAAACGAUAGUGACGAAUAAUCACUGUUAAUGACGGUACCUUGAUAAGAAGCACCGGCUAACUACGUGCCAGCAGCCGCGGUAAUACGUAGGGUGCGAGCGUUAAUCGGAAUUACUGGGCGUAAAGCGUGCGCAGGCUGUUUUGUAAGUCAGAUGUGAAAUCCCCGAGCUCAACUUGGGAACUGCGUUUGAAACUACAAGACUAGAAUAUGUCAGAGGGGGGUAGAAUUCCACGUGUAGCAGUGAAAUGCGUAGAGAUGUGGAGGAAUAUCAAUGGCGAAGGCAGCCCCCUGGGAUAAUAUUGACGCUCAUGCACGAAAGCGUGGGGAGCAAACAGGAUUAGAUACCCUGGUAGUCCA
This 715-nucleotide ribosomal RNA is filed under the name uncultured bacterium. RNAcentral describes it as "bacterial SSU rRNA". It matches the Rfam family "Bacterial small subunit ribosomal RNA", at positions 86 to 797 of the family's 1533-position model. The record is from RNAcentral.